This 2211-nucleotide ribosomal RNA is filed under the name Triticum aestivum (bread wheat). RNAcentral's name for it is "partial small subunit ribosomal RNA". The record is from RNAcentral. Lineage: Eukaryota; Viridiplantae; Streptophyta; Magnoliopsida; Poales; Poaceae.
AUGGAAGGGGAACCUAAUAAAACUUUUCAGCGAGAUGCUCUUGGAUAUGGAGGUUUCAGAGUUAAGAAUGAGUCUGAAACUUGUUAUGGCCAACAAACACAUGAAUGGGCUAGCACUGAAAAAAAUUCAUACAUGAAGGAUGCUAUUGAAAGAAGAUUCGGCAAUUCUCUGAGCGUGAAGGUAAAAGAAGAUAUAUAUAUAACAUUCCAACAGUACAUGAAAGAUGAAGGGCCCAGCACUUGCUCCAAAGUAAAGGAGUUGAUCUUACAAACUCUUAAAAUAGUGACAUCAGCGAAUAGCGAUUCCGAAAAAACAGUGAAACUCGAUUCAAGCAACGAAUACAUAUCAGCAAAUGCUAAUAUUGAUUCAGAGACAACUGUUAAGGUCAAUUCAAACGAAGAAUAUGAUCAUGAUGAUAUAAUAUCUAGAAAGAAAAGAAGGUUAGGAGAUCAAAUAGAAAGGCUAACACACGAGGAGCCACAAACUUCUAUAAUUAAAGGGAAAAAUUUAAGUCAGCAGUCAUGUGGGUCUGAAGGAACACACAGCAAGGCGCAGCACAACAUGGUAGUUGAUGAACAAGGGCCACAGUUAGCCCCAAUUGCUACUACAUUCGAAGCAAGCAAAACCAUAGAGGACUUACAACCCACCACCCAAGCUAUACUUCAAGAAGACAACUAUACGCAUUCAAAAACAGUGACCACAGCAAGUUUUGAUUAUAUGCUAUGUCCUCAGAAAUUUGAGUCUACUUCAUACCAACAGCAAGAACAAGGAGUCACAAUAAGCACACCAUCUUUUUGCGGUUUCAAGAACAAUACCAGCACUCAAAAGGAACCAACAAGUGAUCAAUUUCCAGAGAGCAAAAUGAGCAUAGAUAUUAACAAAGUUUUUGUGCCAGAUGAAGAACUAGCUCACACACAGACAACACAAACAUCUUUUGCACGCUACCUAGAUGAAGCUAGGAAAAACUACUUCUUCUACAGUGAUGACAUACCAACAUUACGGCUCUUCAAAAACCACGAUGAUUGCGGGAAUGAAAUCAAAGAGCCCGAAUUGUGGCGUCCUCUGCACAUGGACUCAGAAGAGUACGAAAGAAAGAUUGAGGCUCCUAAGAGGGAUGGUCCCCCAAAGAAAAACAUAGAAGUGGACAAUAUGAUGUCAAAAGACCCAGAACAGAGCUACAAAAGCAUUAAGCAGCAUUCUCAGUAUGAAAUUAAUAGCACGCCCAACGAGUUCCCCGUUUGUUGUGCACAACAACAAAGCCAGAGCUACUUUUGCAAAACACCAAGGCCUUCAACUGCAACAACAACAGAUGCAAGCAUUAUAGACUUGACCUCGCCAAAUGCUUACAAAAUUUUUCAGUGGAACCAGGAACAAACAUGCUACUCACCAAAGAACAAGAACAGCAGUUUCUUCUCACCGAGUACAUCACAUGAAAGAAACAUUGGGUCUCCUAAUCAAUUAAUAAUACCCAGAAGGUUGUUCCCUGACAAAAGCAACCACACGUAUACACCAGAUGGCACUGAAGAACAACCAAUAGCAAUAAGGGACAGUCAAUCUGCCUCCCCAAAGGUUCAAAUCCUGGGGGAAAAGUCUUUGAAACAAAAUUGCUUGAACUUGCUGGGAAACUCAGAUGAACAUUACAACACCCGUCUUUUGUUAGGGAGCUCAAACAGCUCGGUGGGAAAAGAAAAUGUUCCAAACAAAAGAAUUCUUAAGCCAAGCAAAUACCUUUGCUCUCCUUAUGACGGGUAUAACAGGGGAGAAAUUUUGAGCCAUGAAUUGGAUCUCUACAACAAUAUCAUGAUCUUAAGCAGUCAUGCAGAUUACAAGGGGGUUUCUUUGGAACAAUUGGGGAAAUCUUUCAAAGAGGAAGGAUGGGUAGAGUCAUACGUCAUAAAUGUGUUCUGUAGGAAACUCUUUAGGGACAAUCACCCAAGACUAUCUCAAAGGCAUUUCUUCUUCCACACUGCUAGUGAAUACUUCCUACAAAAGUGGAAGAAUGAAGCAUCGAGAUUGCAGUGGAGAGAUAAAUUAAUAAAGAGCUUCACAGGAGCUGGAAAAGCAAAGGAUCUUCAGCAAUGUAACGAAGUAUGUCUUAGUCAUCUUUUGUACAUUUGUGCUUCUCUUAUUCUUUUAUUUUUUUCUCUAAUUUUUUUGCCUCUGCUUUAUGAUAUGAAGUUAUUUUUUCCAACGCUACACAAGUCACACUAG